Columba livia (rock pigeon) is the source of this 4298-nucleotide long non-coding RNA. RefSeq lists it as uncharacterized. NCBI's taxonomy places the organism in Eukaryota, Metazoa, Chordata, Aves, Columbiformes, Columbidae. The record is from RefSeq and is a predicted model, not a curated record. The transcript has 2 exons.
CACACAAAGAGCAGCUGCAGAGGAAAGCAAGCGUGCUGCCUCCCAGCUCCUCAGCUAGCUCAUAUAUGAAGACAGCACAUUAAAGGAAUAUGAAAGAAAGAAAAAAAUGCAAACACAGUAUUUCAAGCAGUGCCGGCUGAAAUGUAAAAACCAGAUGAAAACCUUAAAGCCUUCUACAUAGUAUGCACAGGAAGCACAGAGGGGAGGUAUGCCAGGGGAAUUGGACGUGAUCUGGCUGAAUUUUUAACAGCAUAAUUUUCUACUGCCUGAAACUGCAAGAGGUUUCUGCUGCAAGGAGGCAGACUGUCCCACACAUGGAGCUUUCGCAUCCGGAUUGGAGACUUCUCUGAAAGAGAAGAGUGCAGUUCAAGCAGGCAUUGAUGCCAAAGAAGGAGUUACUGGGUGAAAUUGUAUUGACUGAGUCAAGCAGGAAGUCAAACUACCUAAUUAUAAUGAUACCUCUGGCCUUAAAAAUCUAUCUCUUCCUGCAUAAAUAAUGCAUCAGGCAUUAUACAUGGUAUGCAAAAAUGAUGUGAUUAAUUAUAUCUGAUUUUCAUUAUAUGCACAGCUGCUAGUCUAUACUUAUCAAAGUUACUCCUUUAUAAAUGUAUUAUAUUUGAGAAAUUGAGGAUAUCAAGAAAAAUGUGAGCCAAUAUGUUGUACAGGGUUCACAUUCAUAAUCUGGUUAAUAAUUUUCUGUGUCUUGUCUUCUCUUUUUCAGUUGUUCUUAUCCUUUUCUUUUUCCUGGUUACUGCUAAGUAGAGACUAGAAACAACCAAUAGAAAUUUGUCCAUAUAGAAAUUGUUUGUUUUCCUCUAUGCCAAUCAUUCUCCAAGUUCUUAAAGGGACUCAGCGUUUACCCACCAAUGUAAUUACCCACGUCUUCAAGAGAGUUCAGAGCUCAUUCAAUCAUGAAACACAAGAGUUAGACUUUCAAAAAUGUUCACUUUGUGUAACUCAUGUUUUGAAAUUCUUAUAUUUUAGACACAUCUGGCAAGGGUAAGGAUUAGAAAGACCGGAAUUCAAAAUGUAGAUGAAAGCCACUAACAAGAGAUAAUUGUUUGAAGGUAGGGGAGGAGGAAAGUUCUGCAGCAAGACCACCUCACCAGCAGACCCAAUGCAGGAACUGGGAGGUAUGAAAUGCAUGGGCAAGAGCACCCCAGGAAGCCUUUGUGGAGGCUGCUGGGAGCGCUCAGGCUUUCUGGGGGCUCGUUUUUAUGGAAAUAAAGUGAACAGCACUUCAGAAGCAUUCUCCAAACCUUUCUAAUAUGGCAAAGCCACAUUUAGCUUUAUUAUUGCAGAUGACAAACUAAGUUACAGAGAAAGGCUAGUCAAAAGUCAGAACUGAAAACCAAUGGUUUCCAGUAAAGCUGCUGGCAAAGGCUUGGCAGCGUUCAGUAGGAAGGCAGGAUGUCAGUGCUCAUAAUAUUUCCAUAUGUACUUCAACAGAAAUAACCUCUUCCAAAAGUUACUUUAAUAGAAAAUAUCUGAAUCCAAGCAGAAGUACCUGCACCAAAAUUAUCCCAGAAAAUUCAGGCAAAAAAAAGAGUACGAUAUUAUUUUUUUUUCCUUUUAAUAUCAGUCAACAGCACAAAAAUUUCUGUUUCUGCUAGAAAAGUAUAGAAUACCCUCUCUCAGAAAAACAAACAAACAAAUAAACAAACAACAACAAACCACCACCACAACAACAGCAACCACCAGCCAAACAAAAAACACCUCAGCAAAACAAAACAAAACCCCAUCAAAAACAAAAAAGAAAGAAGCAGACCAUGCUGCCAGGACAUUUUAGGAGUUAUAGCUGAAAUCUUGAAAACAGUCAAGAGAAUGUUUGAUGCAUCAGAAAGGGUUGUUACAUGACAUCUGGUGUGUGACCUUCUGUGAAAAUGAAGGUGUUAUCCUGCUUCAGGUUGAUAUUGAUUUCAGUGGGGGUCUGGUAAAAAAGCAAAGUCCAGACCUCCUCUGUUCCACCCACAUGAUUUGGACGCUUCUUUCCAGUUAAUGUCACAGAAAGCCAAAAGCUUCCCUCCAAUAUUACCUAACUCUGGAGAUGUCUAAAACUUAUUGGGAUCUUCCUGAAAAUUCCCAAGGUGCCUCAGCUUGUGUUCCUACAUGUUGUAAGGAGCACCUGGCUGCAGAGCUGGCACCAACUGCUGCUUCAGGGCCAUGGUGAUGAAAAGUUCAGAUGGAGAAGUGCCUGGGGCUGCAGGUUUAUAUAGUUUUUUGUUUUAUUUGCUGGUGCAGCUAGCUGAUGAGAUUCCUCCCCCAUCUUUGUUCCCACCCCCACAUCGCAGCUUGCUUAUUCCUCAGUUGCGCUCUUGCAACUGUCUGUGGGACUUUGCUGGAAAUGGGACUUUUAAAAUGAGCCAUCUUUGGAAAAACUUUAGAAAAUUACUGUGUUUCAGUACAACUGACUCUUGUGGUCUGGCUUACAGCUUCGCUCCAUGUGCAAUUACAUCAGAAAAACUGAGCAGGCAAAAAUCUGUGAUGCUAAAACAGGAACAAGAUUGGAGGAGGGAUACAAAGGUGGUGAGCAGGCUUUGCUGUGGGAGGGAAUUGCAGUACUGGUUCCCUGAGGGAUGCAGCCCAUCAGCUGUGCUCUGAGCAUGCUGAAUUCCUCUUGACAAAACUGUGGUCAUUUCAACCCAGGUCCACUUUUUGUGCAAUAGCCGUGAGGAUUGAUUUUGCAGCCAAGAUGUAUCCAUAUAUGAAUUUUAGACCUUGCCUGACAUGAUGGGACUUAAGACAUGCAUUUUGAAGACUACCAGAACAACCAGGUAGAAGGGCAGGUCCAAUUUGUUGAAGUAAAACUUUACAGAACUGGCCAUCUUAUUGCUUCUAUUUUUUAAUAAUGACUAUGCAGUGCAAAAAGAGAGUAACAAAUAUCAGUCAUGUAGUCAAAUCCCACUGUAACUGCAAAGACUUGAAUACUGAGGUCAAGAUAAUUUAGCUGGGUGAAAUUAAAAACAAACAAACAAACAUAAGAUUCACCUCAUUAAACAAACUCUGCUUUCUGAGCAAUUUUCUCCUUGUGGAACUGCAUUAACAGUAAAAUUUAAGGCAACACUAUGAGCAGAAUUGCUAUUUUUUAGGUCUGGAAUAUGAAACUCAUGAUAUUAAAAAAAUAGGCUAAUUAGUGUAAUUCUGCUCUUGCUAUGGAUGCCAGGGAUCAUAACAGCAGUAAAAUAUAAGACCACAUGUGAGGCCUUCCUCAGUGAAAACUCAAAAAUUGCUUAUCAUAGUGCGACACAAGAAGUGGGGAGCACGGAAAAGAAGUUGCUGUGGCAGUGCCUGAAGUCAGGUUCUCUGGUGAGUUGCCCUAUGCUAAAUGCAGUCUCUAAAUCCCUUGCAGCAGACUGAUUUGGCUGUUUUCAUGCACUACUGACUUCCAGGUGAAUACUUUCUGGCACAAAAGUAGGUUAGAAAUAAAACAGAUUUGAGGAGCAUGGCCUGUGUGUUGAGCUGCACAGUUAAACAUGCCAAGCUUUGCUUUCAGGCAAGUAUUUUCAGCUCCCAGUUUGGUUCACUUGAAGUGGAGACGCAUUUGCAAUUGGCACAGCAGAUGCUGGCACAAGGCAGUAAGUGGCAGCCAGGAAUGAAGUCAGGAAUUUGUUAGCAGAGCCAGAAGCGCAUCACCGAAGAAAAGCGUUCACCUUAAGGACCAGAGAAUUAAUGUGAUUGACCAGACACUGCAGUGCUCUGUAUCUCUGACAGUUAUCUCCUGCGCUUCACAAUCGGGAGUCAUGCAAUCAUCUCCGAAUGUCACCCUGUCUGUUUUUUUCCUAUGGUGUUUGCCUAAGAUAUAUGGUGUGGGUCGAGAGCAGAGAAAGAGAGAGAUCACCCCACUUUUGAAAUCACUGAAAAUCUCCAAAGCACUUCAGGAUAUUGGGUGAUGUUAUCCAUGUGUGUUUUUCUGGGGGGUGGUUGUUUUUCUCAGAGGAAGCAGGGAAGUUAAUUAGACUCUACUGAAGUAACAAUGAAGAUUUAAAUCUAGGUCUUUCACUAUUCAUGAGCAAACAGACUAAAGAUGGUUGUACCUGAUCUCGCUGGGGCACCUUGCACAUGUAUCUGGUGGCUUUUACUGCAGCAAGCCUUUCCUAGUUAAGGUUUUCAAAAGUCUUUCAGAGCCUGCUACUCAUCUGGAUAAUCUAAAUAUUUAAUUAUGUGUACGUAUAUGUACUUAAAAAAUAAUUGAUUGACUGAUGGAAUGACUUGUAUUCUAUGGACAUAUUACAGUAUUUUGGUUUUAUUUAUUUUGGAGUGGCAUCACAUAUUAAAAAACAUCCAACCAAAACAGAAAA